AUCCCCUCGCCAUUAAAAUGCAGAUUUUCCCGGGAGGCCGGGAGAGGGCAGGCCGAGUGUCAGGCUUUCAUUCUUCACACUUGUGGGAAGUUUGUGGCCAGCCAACCUCCAGUAAAACCCAGAGAAAAGGGCAAGGGAGAGGAUUCAGUGGGACUGACAGCCAAGACCUGCUUCUGCAAGGGAGGAAGGAAAGGGUCAAAAAGGGGCCGAUGAACUUGCCAGCUUCAGAAUGGGUCCAGGCAGGCUUCCCCACCGGCCCAGCUCACAGCCGCAGGCCAGUCUCUGCCUCCACGCCCCCACCCCGCCGCCUUCUCCCGGCCCAGGCCCAGGCGGCCUGUGGCUUCCAGGGCCCUCACACUCCUAAGGCCUCUCAUGGUUUGCAAAGUUUUGCCAGGGCUGCUCCUGCGUUGCUGCUGUCUUUCCACGUAUCCUCCCAUUUUCACAGACAGGAAAAUGGAGGCUCUGAAACGUUAAGUGAGGUUAACAGCUAAGUGAUGAGUCACAACCCAAAGGCAAGGCUUCCGUCGCCAGCUUCACGGAGGCCCUCCCUGGGCAGAGCGGCAAGGACACAGAGCGGAGCAGAGUUCUGGAGCCAGCUCCUGUUACCAAGUGUAGGUUCCCUACCCCCCACACGAGAGGGGCGAAUAAAACUGGAACACCAGGCUUAUGGCGAGGAACGCGUUUUUAUUUUGCAUGACAUCAGCUGGGAGAUGAGAGUGAGCCCUCAAAUUUGUCUCAUUUUGUCUCGUCUCCCGGAAAGAAGGGAGGAGAGGGGUUUUAAAGGUUUUAUGAGGAAUGUGGCUGCUUGUAGAGAGGUGGGGGGAGUCAGUGGCCUUGCUGCUCAGAGGUUUCCCAGCAGCCUGCAUUUGACCUUGGGAGGCAGAGGAGAUGAUAAGGAACCCAGGUGGGCGACCUUGGCUGUUUGUAUCCAUGGUGGAUAGUGGAUUCUGGAGCCAGGGAGCUGGAGAGUAAGCAGGGAAAGAGUGCUUUGGUUUUAACCCCACAUAUGCUGGGUUUAAUGUAGGGGGACUGAUAUCAGGGCCGCCAUCAAUCCUAGCUGGUCACUUACUGGCUGCAGGACUUUGGACCAAACACUUGCCAGCUCCCAGCUGCAGCUUUCUCACCUGAAAGGGGGAACCAAACAGCCACCUCCCAGGUCCGAAUAACAGUGUCCCCGGAUGGGCCUCUGCAUCGCAGGGCCUUUGAGGAUGAGAAAGCAAAGCCCCAUCCUCUCUGCCAGCCCUGGAGGGCACCUCUGCCAGCUGCUGCCA
Molecule: long non-coding RNA, 1271 nt
Filed under: Equus caballus (horse)
Lineage: Eukaryota; Metazoa; Chordata; Mammalia; Perissodactyla; Equidae
Description: lncRNA (ENSECAG00000050646.1)
Source: RNAcentral